ACUUUCCUUGGCCUCCUGCAGAAGGACGCUUUGACCUUCCACAGCCCCCCUCGACACUGUCCCACGUCUCUCACGGAGCACCCCCUAGACCUCUUGGAGUUUCCUCUGCCAUCCUACAGCGCUCCCUUGAGGUCUUGCUGGUCACAGCACCUUCUCUGACAUCUGUCCUCACCAGGGUCCUUCCCUGUAAUUCACAGUGCAUCUCCCUCUCCACCCUCCACCGACAUUUCUCUCUCUCCCCAACUAAAUAAACGUUCCGCGUCUCCACAGAUGCCAGUAUAUCACUAGAUAUCGUCCAGCUUCCCUCUUUGGAAGGCUCAGUGGCAUCUCUUCAUAUCCACCAUCCUUCACAGAAGCGUCCUCUUACUUCCACGGCUCCAGGCUCUGUGGCCUCAGGCAUAUGUCAUCCCUCUUUCCCAGCUCUACACUACAAAUCAGUUGUCAGGCCCUCAUCCCAAACACAUCCCCGCUCCCCCAGGUGCUGGGCUCCUGCAGCCAGCUAGGCCUGCAUUAUGGUCCUCUCUCAUGGUCAGCCCCUUC
RNAcentral lists this long non-coding RNA (540 nucleotides) under Homo sapiens (human). Its description in RNAcentral is "HSALNT0190020". Lineage: Eukaryota; Metazoa; Chordata; Mammalia; Primates; Hominidae. The record is from RNAcentral.